RNAcentral lists this ribosomal RNA (1430 nucleotides) under Haemophilus sp. HMSC071C11. RNAcentral's name for it is "bacterial LSU rRNA". It matches the Rfam family "Bacterial large subunit ribosomal RNA", at positions 1 to 1251 of the family's 2925-position model. The record is from RNAcentral. Lineage: Bacteria; Pseudomonadati; Pseudomonadota; Gammaproteobacteria; Pasteurellales; Pasteurellaceae.
GUUGUAUAGUUAAGUGACUAAGCGUACAAGGUGGAUGCCUUGGCAAUCAGAGGCGAAGAAGGACGUGCUAAUCUGCGAAAAGCUUGGAUGAGUCGAUAAGAGGCGUUUAAUCCAAGAUAUCCGAAUGGGGAAACCCAGUAGAUGAAGAAUCUACUAUCAACAAGUGAAUUCAUAGCUUGUUGAGGCAAACCGGGAGAACUGAAACAUCUAAGUACCCCGAGGAAAAGAAAUCAACCGAGAUUUCGUCAGUAGCGGCGAGCGAAAGCGAAAGAGCCAGUAAGUGAUAGCAGUAUAGUGAGGAGAAUGUGUUGGGAAGCACAAUCAAAGAGGGUGAUAAUCCCGUAUCUAAAAACCAUAUUGUGGUACUAAGCUAACGAGAAGUAGGGCGGGACACGUGAUAUCCUGUUUGAAGAAGGGGGGACCAUCCUCCAAGGCUAAAUACUCCUGAUUGACCGAUAGUGAACCAGUACUGUGAAGGAAAGGCGAAAAGAACCCCGGUGAGGGGAGUGAAAUAGAACCUGAAACCUUGUACGUACAAGCAGUGGGAGCCCCAUCACUUAAUCCGAUUGGAAGGUGAUGAAAAGCAACCGCACUUAAACAAUGGUAAGAGGAGCGAAGCGAGUCAAACCACCCAAAAGAAGCAGUGGGAUUAAGUGAUGGGGUGACUGCGUACCUUUUGUAUAAUGGGUCAGCGACUUAUAUUUUGUAGCGAGGUUAACCGAAUAGGGGAGCCGAAGGGAAACCGAGUCUUAACUGGGCGAAUAGUUGCAAGGUAUAGACCCGAAACCCGGUGAUCUAGCCAUGGGCAGGUUGAAGGUUGGGUAACACUAACUGGAGGACCGAACCGACUAAUGUUGAAAAAUUAGCGGAUGACUUGUGGCUGGGGGUGAAAGGCCAAUCAAACCGGGAGAUAGCUGGUUCUCCCCGAAAUCUAUUUAGGUAGAGCCUUGAGGUGACACCUUUGGGGGUAGAGCACUGUUUCGGCUAGGGGUCCAUCCCGGAUUACCAACCCGAUGCAAACUACGAAUACCAAAGAGUGAUACUCAGGAGACACACGGCGGGUGCUAACGUCCGUCGUGGAGAGGGAAACAACCCAGACCGCCAGCUAAGGUCCCCAAGUCUAUAUUAAGUGGGAAACGAAGUGGGAAGGCUUAGACAGCUAGGAUGUUGGCUUAGAAGCAGCCAUCAUUUAAAGAAAGCGUAAUAGCUCACUAGUCGAGUCGGCCUGCGCGGAAGAUGUAACGGGGCUGAAAUAUAGCACCGAAGCUGCGGCAUCAGGCGUAUCACUAAUACGCCUUACGAUUAACAAGCUAGAAUGGCGCGAAGCGACAUGAAAGGUUGUUCAAGCAACCCGAACGUUGAGUCGGGCAUCUUAGAGUGAGGAUGAUUAGUGAUACGCCUGUUGGGUAGGGGAGCGUUGUGUAAGCGGA